AACGAACGCUGGCGGCACGCCUAACACAUGCAAGUCGAGCGCUACCUUCGGGUGGAGCGGCGGACGGGUUAGUAACGCGUGGGAACAUACCCUUUUCUGCGGAAUAGCCUUUGGAAACGAAGAGUAAUACCGCAUACGCCCUUCGGGGGAAAGAUUUAUCGGUGAAGGAUUGGCCCGCGUUAGAUUAGAUAGUUGGUGGGGUAACGGCCUACCAAGUCUACGAUCUAUAGCUGGUUUGAGAGGAUGAUCAGCAACACUGGGACUGAGACACGGCCCAGACUCCUACGGGAGGCAGCAGUGGGGAAUCUUAGACAAUGGGCGAAAGCCUGAUCUAGCGAUGCCGCGUGAGUGACGAAGGCCUUAGGGUCGUAAAGCUCUUUCGCCAGGGAUGAUAAUGACAGUACCUGGUAAAGAAACCCCGGCUAACUCCG
RNAcentral lists this ribosomal RNA (431 nucleotides) under uncultured Loktanella sp. RNAcentral's name for it is "bacterial SSU rRNA". It matches the Rfam family "Bacterial small subunit ribosomal RNA", at positions 29 to 505 of the family's 1533-position model. Lineage: Bacteria; Pseudomonadati; Pseudomonadota; Alphaproteobacteria; Rhodobacterales; Roseobacteraceae. The record is from RNAcentral.